This is a non-coding RNA of Cinara cedri, 293 nucleotides long. Lineage: Eukaryota; Metazoa; Arthropoda; Insecta; Hemiptera; Aphididae. The record is from the annotation of a GenBank genome assembly.
UCUGAUGAUAAUACCUUAUUUUCAUUGUAAGGAAAAAUUCAAUUCGAAAUUUUACUAUUUAAAGUUGAUUUUAUUUUAGGCAUUACGUAGAAUACGUUCACUGUACGGUCAAACUAAUCAAAGAAAUAGGUACUAAGGUACCAAUAGCCGAACGCACACGAAUCGCUGUACUACUGCGUUGAAUUUAAUCGCCACCAUAUAUAUAUAGACGCUUAUCGCUCGCUGGGCUUUCCAAGCUUCUAGAAAAUACCAGACGAACGAUAAACGCCUGUGAUUUAAAACGUGGGGAAAUU